UGCAGUCGAACGAUGAAGCCCAGCUUGCUGGGUGGAUUAGUGGCGAACGGGUGAGUAACACGUGAGUAACCUGCCCCUGACUCUGGGAUAAGCCCGGGAAACUGGGUCUAAUACCGGAUAUGACUUUUGACCGCAUGGUUGAGGGUGGAAAGAUUUAUCGGUUGGGGAUGGACUCGCGGCCUAUCAGCUUGUUGGUGAGGUAAUGGCUCACCAAGGCGACGACGGGUAGCCGGCCUGAGAGGGUGACCGGCCACACUGGGACUGAGACACGGCCCAGACUCCUACGGGAGGCAGCAGUGGGGAAUAUUGCACAAUGGGCGCAAGCCUGAUGCAGCGACGCCGCGUGAGGGAUGACGGCCUUCGGGUUGUAAACCUCUUUCAGUAGGGAAGAAGCGAGAGUGACGGUACCUGCAGAAGAAGCGCCGGCUAACUACGUGCCAGCAGCCGCGGUAAUACGUAGGGCGCAAGCGUUAUCCGGAUUUAUUGGGCGUAAAGAGCUCGUAGGCGGUUUGUCGCGUCUAUCGUGAAAGUCCGAGGCUCAACCUCGGAUCUGCGGUGGGUACGGGCAGACUAGAGUGAUGUAGGGGAGACUGGAAUUCCUGGUGUAGCGGUGAAAUGCGCAGAUAUCAGGAGGAACACCGAUGGCCAAAGCAGGUCUCUGGGCAUUUACUGACGCUGAGGAGCGAAAGCAU
This 692-nucleotide ribosomal RNA is filed under the name Glutamicibacter soli. Its description in RNAcentral is "bacterial SSU rRNA". It matches the Rfam family "Bacterial small subunit ribosomal RNA", at positions 56 to 762 of the family's 1533-position model. The record is from RNAcentral. Lineage: Bacteria; Bacillati; Actinomycetota; Actinomycetes; Micrococcales; Micrococcaceae.